UGGUCUAUUGAUUAAAAACUUAGCUAAAAUUAUGAUUAGCUUAGAUUUGGGUUGCUAUAAAACAUACAUAAUAAGGCUUAAGACAUUGUGGACACGAACACUAAAUGAACUCUGUGUAUGAACUGUGUUAUACAAAUAAACUUGCCUUGCCUUGCCUUGCCUAAAUAAAAUAUUUGCCUGAUGAUGGAAAGAUAAAAUACUACAUGUGCAAGAAAUAACACUAAAAGCAGUAAUGCAGCCUUCUUACAGAUUGGUUUAUGGAUUUUUAAUGAACUUCCUCCUUUAGACACAGAAAUCCAUUUCUUUCAACAUUGUCUAAAACUGGUUCUGCUGCUUUCAUCACCAUAUCCUUGUUGUUUUUUAUAAAUGUGGGCAAGUCCUAGACAUAAAAGGGAGUGUUGCGCUUCUCUUCAUUUUAAAAGACUUGCUCUGGGUAAUCGUUGCAGUCUUCUGGUAAAGAACAAGACAUUGUUUGGAAGCAGGCUCGCAAUCAGACUCGAAGAGCGAUUAUGACCAUUGAGGAAGGAGAGGAUGAUGGAGAGGAUGAUGAAGAGGAAGCAGAUAUGUUUUGCUAUUGAUAAGGUUUGCUCCCAGGGGCGGACCCGGAAGAUCAACCAAUAGAUCAGUUGCAGCCAUGAUAUGGUUGAGCUGUGCAUCUUCAGGAAAAAACUCCAUGGCAGUUGACUCUGGUACUUUCCAAAAAUGAAGACACAGCUUUUGUGACUUUUUUAAGUGGGGAUCGUGCAUGGUGUUAUUUGCCAUGUUACAAUAAUGUCUGCUGAUGUUUCGGUAGGCUGCAUUAAUUGGUUUCAUAUACUGGAACUGAUUUACAAAUGUGGCUUACACAAAAAAAAAAAAACAACAGAUGGGCUUGUAUAUUAUCCAUUGAUUAAGGAAUAGAUUUAGCUCCAAUGUUGAUUUCUAGUAUAACCUAAAGUAAGUUCUACUCAGAGUAAAUCAUGCAAACACAUAAAUGUUAAACUAUUUAAUACAGUAUAUCAGGAAAUAUACAAGCCUAAAAUAUGUUGGCCAAUUUGCACAAAUGACUUUAUGCAUUAUGUGGAAAUGGUUACUUACUGCUCAUGAUUGAGCCAGUAAUUGUGGAUGACGUACCUUCAUGUCUAGCAUUUCUAUAUUGUGUUUAUGGUAGAAGGAGUCUCUCAUUAACUGUACAGUAUCAUUUUUUAAUAAGGGUAUUACUAUACUUAAAACUGUAAUAAUUAGAGAUAUAUGUCUUAACAGUUGAAGGGUUUGUACCCGAUUAAUAUAAUCAACAAUUGUGUCUUAUGUUCAUCAUAAACAACAACUUGUAAUAGUGGUCACUGCAACAGAUUACACUAGUACUUGCAAUGAAGCAGCAACCUGUCUGUGUGUUAAGAAUAACUGUUGCAAUGGCCAUGUAUGUACUGUAUAAGUAUUGAUAAAUAGAGUUAUGGAGAAAAGGAAAAUCUACUCUAUAUAUAUUGUGUGAGUAUUUAGCGUAUAGAUUUAUCACUCCAUAAUAUUAUUUUCAGCAAUACCCCAUAUUCAAUCAUUUACAUGUAUGAUGUAUAAUUUAUACAAUUAACAUGAUUUAUAUCAUGAAAAAUAAUGAAUGUUUUAAAUGUACAAAUUAAUUUUGAUUAUAGGCAAAACAUUCAAAACAGUAAUCUAUUGGUAUAUUUUUCCGCAAUUUACUUGGUUUUUGUAACAGGGGCCUUUCUAGAUUGGUUUAUUUGUUUAUUAUUGAUUGUAAAAAAUAUGCACAAAAAAAGGAAACCAUCACAUUCCAGGCGAAAACCUAAAUAAGCCAAUCAUUAUAAUAGUCAUGUAUAUCACACAAACAUCAUUGACAAACAUCAAUUCCUUUUUUUAAUGUGCAUGUGAAUUACAAGCAUAACCUGAUUAAUUUUAAAAUGCCAUUCUAGAUAGGGUUACAUAGGAAACACCCCAUAAUAAAAGAAGAGAGGAUAUGACAGUCUACUGAAUCUGGAAUUGAUUUAAUCUUUAUGUAAAUGCUUCCAUGUUCUAAAAUAAAUGUUAAUGUCCUUUCAA
Long non-coding RNA from Silurus meridionalis, 2034 nucleotides. RefSeq lists it as uncharacterized. Lineage: Eukaryota; Metazoa; Chordata; Actinopteri; Siluriformes; Siluridae. The transcript is spliced from 2 exons. The record is from RefSeq and is a predicted model, not a curated record.